RNAcentral lists this ribosomal RNA (253 nucleotides) under uncultured bacterium. RNAcentral's name for it is "partial 16S ribosomal RNA". It matches the Rfam family "Bacterial small subunit ribosomal RNA", at positions 524 to 776 of the family's 1533-position model. The record is from RNAcentral.
UACGUAGGGUGCAGGCGUUAUUCGGAAUUACUGGGCGUAAAGCGUGCGCAGGCGGUUUCUUAAGUCAGAUGUGAAAGCCCCGGGCUUAACCUGGGAACUGCGUUUGAAACUGGGAGACUUGAGUGUGGCAGAGGGGAGUGGAAUUCCACGUGUAGCAGUGAAAUGCGUAGAUAUGUGGAGGAACACCGAUGGCGAAGGCAGCCCCCUGGGUUAACACUGACGCUCAUGCACGAAAGCGUGGGGAGCAAACAGG